ACCCCCUAUCAAUGAACUAAGACACACCUUGUUGGUGUCAUUGAUCUAAGAUCAGUCAGGGGCAGAGCAGAUGGCCGUCCUUUGUUCAUCCUAGCUUGAUGCCUGACUUGACUCAAGCUGUCUUAUGCCUAGGACUCAUAA
Molecule: small nucleolar RNA, 141 nt
Organism: Apodemus sylvaticus (European woodmouse)
Lineage: Eukaryota; Metazoa; Chordata; Mammalia; Rodentia; Muridae
Product: small nucleolar RNA SNORA48
Exons: 1
Source: RefSeq, a predicted model, not a curated record